UCCUCUGUGGUCCAGUGGUUAAGACGCUGCACUUCCACUGCAGGGGGUAUGGGUUCAAUCCCUAGUUGAGGGA
RNAcentral lists this transfer RNA (73 nucleotides) under Bos taurus (domestic cattle). It matches the Rfam family "tRNA". From Rfam's summary of the family: Transfer RNA (tRNA) molecules are approximately 80 nucleotides in length. Their secondary structure includes four short double-helical elements and three loops (D, anti-codon, and T loops). Further hydrogen bonds mediate the characteristic L-shaped molecular structure. tRNAs have two regions of fundamental functional importance: the anti-codon, which is responsible for specific mRNA codon recognition, and the 3' end, to which the tRNAs corresponding amino acid is attached (by aminoacyl-tRNA synthetases). tRNAs cope with the degeneracy of the genetic code in two manners: having more than one tRNA (with a specific anti-codon) for a particular amino acid; and 'wobble' base-pairing, i.e. permitting non-standard base-pairing at the 3rd anti-codon position. RNAcentral also lists the same sequence under 3 other names. The record is from Rfam by way of RNAcentral. Lineage: Eukaryota; Metazoa; Chordata; Mammalia; Artiodactyla; Bovidae.